RNAcentral lists this ribosomal RNA (476 nucleotides) under Pseudomonas aeruginosa. RNAcentral's name for it is "bacterial SSU rRNA". It matches the Rfam family "Bacterial small subunit ribosomal RNA", at positions 30 to 501 of the family's 1533-position model. Lineage: Bacteria; Pseudomonadati; Pseudomonadota; Gammaproteobacteria; Pseudomonadales; Pseudomonadaceae. The record is from RNAcentral.
AUUGAACGCUGCGGCAGGCCUAACACAUGCAAGUCGAGCGGAUGAAGGGAGCUUGCUCCUGGAUUCAGCGGCGGACGGGUGAGUAAUGCCUAGGAAUCUGCCUGGUAGUGGGGGAUAACGUCCGGAAACGGGCGCUAAUACCGCAUACGUCCUGAGGGAGAAAGUGGGGGAUCUUCGGACCUCACGCUAUCAGAUGAGCCUAGGUCGGAUUAGCUAGUUGGUGGGGUAAAGGCCUACCAAGGCGACGAUCCGUAACUGGUCUGAGAGGAUGAUCAGUCACACUGGAACUGAGACACGGUCCAGACUCCUACGGGAGGCAGCAGUGGGGAAUAUUGGACAAUGGGCGAAAGCCUGAUCCAGCCAUGCCGCGUGUGUGAAGAAGGUCUUCGGAUUGUAAAGCACUUUAAGUUGGGAGGAAGGGCAGUAAGUUAAUACCUUGCUGUUUUGACGUUACCAACAGAAUAGCACCGGCACUC